UAGUUAUUAUAGCAAAGAGGAUACACCUGUUCCCAUUCCGAACACAGAAGUUAAGCUCUUUAGCGCCGAUGGUACUUGGUGGGAAGCUGCCU
RNAcentral lists this ribosomal RNA (92 nucleotides) under Paraclostridium sordellii. The record is from RNAcentral. Lineage: Bacteria; Bacillati; Bacillota; Clostridia; Peptostreptococcales; Peptostreptococcaceae.